Molecule: ribosomal RNA, 434 nt
Filed under: uncultured bacterium
Lineage: Bacteria
Description: bacterial SSU rRNA
Rfam family: Bacterial small subunit ribosomal RNA
Source: RNAcentral
GCUAAACGCGAAGAACCUUACCUGGACUUGACAUCCCCUGAAUUACUCGUAAUGGAGGAAGCCCUUCGGGGCAGGGAGACAGGUGGUGCAUGGUUGUCGUCAGCUCGUGUCGUGAGAUGUUAGGUUAAGUCCUGCAACGAGCGCAACCCUUAUCAUUAGUUGCUACCAUUAAGUUGAGCACUCUAGUGAGACUGCCCGGGUUAACCGGGGGGAAGGUGGGGAUGACGUCAAAUCAUCAUGCCUCUUAUGUCUAGGGCUACACACGUGCUACAAUGGGUGAUACAAAGAGAUGCAAUACAGUGAUGUGGAGCAAAACUAUAAAAUCACCCUCAGUUCGGAUUGUAGGCUGAAACUCGCCUACAUGAAGCUGGAGUUGCUAGUAAUCGCGAAUCAGCAUGUCGCGGUGAAUACGUUCCCGGGUCUUGUACACACCG